This 502-nucleotide ribosomal RNA is filed under the name uncultured Chloroflexota bacterium. Its description in RNAcentral is "bacterial SSU rRNA". It matches the Rfam family "Bacterial small subunit ribosomal RNA", at positions 355 to 874 of the family's 1533-position model. Lineage: Bacteria; Bacillati; Chloroflexota. The record is from RNAcentral.
UGAGGAAUAUUGCACAAUGGGCGCAAGCCUGAUGCAGCAACGCCGCGUGAGGGACGAAGGCCUUCGGGUCGUAAACCUCUUUUCUGGGGAAAGAGCAAGGACGGUACCUCAGGAAUAAGUCUCGGCUAACUACGUGCCAGCAGCCGCGGUAAAACGUAGGAGGCGAGCGUUAUCCGGAUUUACUGGGCGUAAAGCGCACGCAGGUGGUUUCGUAAGUCGGACAUGAAAGCUCCUGGCUUAACUGGGAGAGGCUGUUCGAUACUGCGGGGCUUGAGGUUGGGAGAGGGGUGUGGAAUUCCCGGUGUAGUGGUGGAAUGCGUAGAUAUCGGGAGGAACACCUGUGGCGAAAGCGGCACCCUGGCCCACACCUGACGCUGAGGUGCGAAAGCGUGGGUAGCAAACAGGAUUAGAUACCCUGGUAGUCCACGCCGUAAACGAUGUCAACUGGGUGUCGGUAGUUUACACUAUCGGUGCCGAAGCAAACGCGUUAAGUUGACCGCCU